CGAACGGUAACAGGAAGCAGCUUGCUGCUUCGCUGACGAGUGGCGGACGGGUGAGUAAUGUCUGGGAAACUGCCUGAUGGAGGGGGAUAACUACUGGAAACGGUGGCUAAUACCGCAUAACGUCGCAAGACCAAAGAGGGGGACCUUCGGGCCUCUUGCCAUCAGAUGUGCCCAGAUGGGAUUAGCUUGUUGGUGAGGUAACGGCUCACCAAGGCGACGAUCCCUAGCUGGUCUGAGAGGAUGACCAGCCACACUGGAACUGAGACACGGUCCAGACUCCUACGGGAGGCAGCAGUGGGGAAUAUUGCACAAUGGGCGCAAGCCUGAUGCAGCCAUGCCGCGUGUAUGAAGAAGGCCUUCGGGUUGUAAAGUACUUUCAGCGGGGAGGAAGGUGUUGUGGUUAAUAACCGCAGCAAUUGACGUUACCCGCAGAAGAAGCACCGGCUAACUCCGUGCCAGCAGCCGCGGUAAUACGGAGGGUGCAAGCGUUAAUCGGAAUUACUGGGCGUAAAGCGCACGCAGGCGGUCUGUCAAGUCGGAUGUGAAAUCCCCGGGCUCAACCUGGGAACUGCAUUCGAAACUGGCAGGCUUGAGUCUUGUAGAGGGGGGUAGAAUUCCAGGUGUAGCGGUGAAAUGCGUAGAGAUCUGGAGGAAUACCGGUGGCGAAGGCGGCCCCCUGGACAAAGACUGACGCUCAGGUGCGAAAGCGUGGGGAGCAAACAGGAUUAGAUACCCUGGUAGUCCACGCCGUAAACGAUGUCUACUUGGAGGUUGUGCCCUUGAGGCGUGGCUUCCGGAGCUAACGCGUUAAGUAGACCGCCUGGGGAGUACGGCCGCAAGGUUAAAACUCAAAUGAAUUGACGGGGGCCCGCACAAGCGGUGGAGCAUGUGGUUUAAUUCGAUGCAACGCGAAGAACCUUACCUGGUCUUGACAUCCACAGAACUUUCCAGAGAUGGAUUGGUGCCUUCGGGAACUGUGAGACAGGUGCUGCAUGGCUGUCGUCAGCUCGUGUUGUGAAAUGUUGGGUUAAGUCCCGCAACGAGCGCAACCCUUAUCCUUUGUUGCCAGCGGUCCGGCCGGGAACUCAAAGGAGACUGCCAGUGAUAAACUGGAGGAAGGUGGGGAUGACGUCAAGUCAUCAUGGCCCUUACGACCAGGGCUACACACGUGCUACAAUGGCGCAUACAAAGAGAAGCGACCUCGCGAGAGCAAGCGGACCUCAUAAAGUGCGUCGUAGUCCGGAUUGGAGUCUGCAACUCGACUCCAUGAAGUCGGAAUCGCUAGUAAUCGUGGAUCAGAAUGCCACGGUGAAUACGUUCCCGGGCCUUGUACACACCGCCCGUCACACCAUGGGAGUGGGUUGCAAAAGAAGUAGGUAGCUUAACCUUCGGGAGGGCGCUUACCACUUUGUGAUUCAUGACUGGGGUGAAGUCGUAACAAGGUAACCGUAGGGGAACCUGCGGUUGGA
Molecule: ribosomal RNA, 1469 nt
Filed under: Salmonella enterica subsp. enterica serovar Stanley
Lineage: Bacteria; Pseudomonadati; Pseudomonadota; Gammaproteobacteria; Enterobacterales; Enterobacteriaceae
Description: bacterial SSU rRNA
Rfam family: Bacterial small subunit ribosomal RNA
Source: RNAcentral